AUUGAACGCUGGCGGCAGGCCUAACACAUGCAAGUCGAACGGUAACAGGAAACAGCUUGCUGUUUCGCUGACGAGUGGCGGACGGGUGAGUCAUGUCUGGGAAACUGCCUGAUGGAGGGGGAUAACUACUGGAAACGGUAGCUAAUACCGCAUAACGUCGCAAGACCAAGGAGGGGUACCCUCGGGCGUCUUGCCUUCGAAUUUUCCCUGAUGGCAUUAGCUUGUUGGUGGGGUAACGGCUCACCAAGGCGACGAUCCCUAGCUGGUCUGAGAGGAUGACCAGCCACACUGGAACUGAGACACGGUCCAGACUCCUACGGGAGGCAGCAGUGGGGAAUAUUGCACAAUGGGCGCAAGCCUGAUGCAGCCAUGCCGCGUGUAUGAAGAAGGCCUUCGGGUUGUAAAGUACUUUCAGCGGGGAGGAAGGGAGUAAAGUUAAUACCUUUGCUCAUUGACGUUACCCGCAGAAGAAGCACCGGCUAACUCCGUG
RNAcentral lists this ribosomal RNA (490 nucleotides) under uncultured bacterium. RNAcentral describes it as "partial 16S ribosomal RNA". It matches the Rfam family "Bacterial small subunit ribosomal RNA", at positions 30 to 507 of the family's 1533-position model. The record is from RNAcentral.